CUUAGUGGCGGACGGGUGAGUAACACGUGAGUAACCUGCCUUUCAGAGUGGAAUAACGUUUGGAAACGAACGCUAAUACCGCAUAACAUGAAAGAACGGCAUCGUUCUUUCAUCAAAGAUUUUAUCGCUGAGAGAUGGGCUCGCGGCCGAUUAGGUAGUUGGUGAGAUAACAGCCCACCAAGCCGACGAUCGGUAGCCGGACUGAGAGGUUGAACGGCCACAUUGGGACUGAGACACGGCCCAGACUCC
Molecule: ribosomal RNA, 249 nt
Filed under: uncultured bacterium
Lineage: Bacteria
Description: partial 16S ribosomal RNA
Rfam family: Bacterial small subunit ribosomal RNA
Source: RNAcentral